AACGCACAUUGCGCCCCUUGGUAUUCCGGGGGGCACACCUGUUCGAGCGUCAUUUAAAACAUCAAGCCCUGCUUGGUAUUGGACGCGGUCGCGCGACCCGUUCGUAACCCGUUGGCGGUGCGGUCCGGCCCCAAGCGUAGCAAACUUUCGCUUCUGGAGCCGUGGCUGUGCCUGCCAGGUAAUGGCCACCUUUAAAGUUUGACCUCGGAUCAGGUGGGGAUACCCGCUGAACUUAA
This 236-nucleotide unclassified non-coding RNA is filed under the name uncultured fungus. Its description in RNAcentral is "sequence contains ITS2". The record is from RNAcentral. Lineage: Eukaryota; Fungi.